UACGAAGGGGGCGAGCGUUUGUUCGGAAUUACUGGGCGUAAAGGGCGCGUAGGCGGCCGAGCAAGUUAGAUGUGAAAGUCCUGGGCUUAACCUGGGGACUGCAUUUGAUACUGCUUGGCUUGAAUUCGGGAGAGGAUAGCGGAAUUCCCAGUGUAGAGGUGAAAUUCGUAGAUAUUGGGAAGAACACCGGUGGCGAAGGCGGCGAGCUGGUCCAUUACUGACGCUGAGGCGCGACAGCGUGGGGGAGCAAACAGG
RNAcentral lists this ribosomal RNA (255 nucleotides) under uncultured bacterium. RNAcentral describes it as "partial 16S ribosomal RNA". It matches the Rfam family "Bacterial small subunit ribosomal RNA", at positions 524 to 776 of the family's 1533-position model. The record is from RNAcentral.